RNAcentral lists this ribosomal RNA (497 nucleotides) under uncultured bacterium. RNAcentral's name for it is "partial 16S ribosomal RNA". It matches the Rfam family "Bacterial small subunit ribosomal RNA", at positions 28 to 507 of the family's 1533-position model. The record is from RNAcentral.
GACGAACGCUGGCGGCGUGCCUAAUACAUGCAAGUAGAACGCUGAAGCGAGGAGCUUGCUCUUCUUGGAUGAGUUGCGAACGGGUGAGUAACGCGUAGGUAACCUGCCUGGUAGCGGGGGAUAACUAUUGGAAACGAUAGCUAAUACCGCAUAAAAUUGAUUAUUGCAUGAUAAUUAAUUGAAAGAUGCAAUUGCAUCACUACCAGAUGGACCUGCGUUGUAUUAGCUAGUUGGUAAGGUAACGGCUCACCAAGGCGACGAUACAUAGCCGACCUGAGAGGGUGAUCGGCCACACUGGGACUGAGACACGGCCCAGACUCCUACGGGAGGCAGCAGUAGGGAAUCUUCGGCAAUGGGGGGAACCCUGACCGAGCAACGCCGCGUGAGUGAAGAAGGUUUUCGGAUCGUAAAGCUCUGUUGUAAGAGAAGAACGGGUGUGAGAGUGGAAAGUUCACACUGUGACGGUAUCUUACCAGAAAGGGACGGCUAACUACGUG